Transfer RNA from Candidatus Haloredivivus sp. G17, 75 nucleotides. It matches the Rfam family "tRNA". Rfam says of the family: Transfer RNA (tRNA) molecules are approximately 80 nucleotides in length. The record is from Rfam. Lineage: Archaea; Methanobacteriati; Methanobacteriota; Candidatus Nanohaloarchaea.
GCGGUCAUAGUGUAGUCCGGCCAAUCAUCUCGGCCUUUCGAGCCGAAGACCCGGGUUCAAAUCCCGGUGACCGCA